CUUCCUUCGGUGAGGAGCGGCGGACGGGUUAUAGCGCGUGGGAAUAUACCCUUUUCUAUGGAAUACCCUCAGGAAACUGAGAGUAAUACCAUAUACGCCCUUCGGGGGAAAGAUUUAUCGGUGAAGGAUUAGCCCGCGUUUGAUUAGAUAGUUGGUGGGGUAAUGGCCUACCAAAUCUACGAUCAGUAGCUGGUUUGAGAGGAUGAUAAGCAACUCUGGGACUGAUACACGGCCCAGACUCCUACGGGAGGCACCGAUGGGGAAUCUUAAACCAUGGGCGCAAGCCUGAUCUAGCCAUGCCGCGUGAGUGACCAAGGCCUUACGGUCGUAAAGCUCUUUCGCCAGAGAUGAUAAUGACAGUAUCUGGUAAAGAAACCCCGGCUAACUCCGUGCCAGCAUCCGCGAUAAUACGGAGGGGGUUACCGUUGUUCGGAAUUACUGGGCGUAAAGCGUACGUAGGCGGAUUGGAAAGUAGGGGGUGAAAUCCCGGGGCUCAACCCCGGAACUGCCUCCUAAACUAUCANUCUAGAGUUCUAGAGAGGUGAGUGGAAUUCCAAGUGUACAGGUGAAAUUCCUAUAUAUUUGGAGGAACACCAGUGGCGAAGGCGGCUCACUGGCUCGAUACUGACGCUGAGGUACCAAAGUGUGG
Molecule: ribosomal RNA, 649 nt
Filed under: Yoonia sp.
Lineage: Bacteria; Pseudomonadati; Pseudomonadota; Alphaproteobacteria; Rhodobacterales; Paracoccaceae
Description: bacterial SSU rRNA
Rfam family: Bacterial small subunit ribosomal RNA
Source: RNAcentral